This 787-nucleotide ribosomal RNA is filed under the name Stenotrophomonas maltophilia. RNAcentral's name for it is "bacterial SSU rRNA". It matches the Rfam family "Bacterial small subunit ribosomal RNA", at positions 344 to 1122 of the family's 1533-position model. The record is from RNAcentral. Lineage: Bacteria; Pseudomonadati; Pseudomonadota; Gammaproteobacteria; Lysobacterales; Lysobacteraceae.
GGAGGCAGCAGUGGGGAAUAUUGGACAAUGGGCGCAAGCCUGAUCCAGCCAUACCGCGUGGGUGAAGAAGGCCUUCGGGUUGUAAAGCCCUUUUGUUGGGAAAGAAAUCCAGCUGGCUAAUACCCGGUUGGGAUGACGGUACCCAAAGAAUAAGCACCGGCUAACUUCGUGCCAGCAGCCGCGGUAAUACGAAGGGUGCAAGCGUUACUCGGAAUUACUGGGCGUAAAGCGUGCGUAGGUGGUCGUUUAAGUCCGUUGUGAAAGCCCUGGGCUCAACCUGGGAACUGCAGUGGAUACUGGGCGACUAGAGUGUGGUAGAGGGUAGCGGAAUUCCUGGUGUAGCAGUGAAAUGCGUAGAGAUCAGGAGGAACAUCCAUGGCGAAGGCAGCUACCUGGACCAACACUGACACUGAGGCACGAAAGCGUGGGGAGCAAACAGGAUUAGAUACCCUGGUAGUCCACGCCCUAAACGAUGCGAACUGGAUGUUGGGUGCAAUUUGGCACGCAGUAUCGAAGCUAACGCGUUAAGUUCGCCGCCUGGGGAGUACGGUCGCAAGACUGAAACUCAAAGGAAUUGACGGGGGCCCGCACAAGCGGUGGAGUAUGUGGUUUAAUUCGAUGCAACGCGAAGAACCUUACCUGGCCUUGACAUGUCGAGAACUUUCCAGAGAUGGAUUGGUGCCUUCGGGAACUCGAACACAGGUGCUGCAUGGCUGUCGUCAGCUCGUGUCGUGAAAUGUUGGGUUAAGUCCCGCAACGAGCGCAACCCUUGUCCUUAGUUGCCAGC